RNAcentral lists this transfer RNA (71 nucleotides) under Ictidomys tridecemlineatus (thirteen-lined ground squirrel). Its description in RNAcentral is "Spermophilus tridecemlineatus (thirteen-lined ground squirrel) tRNA". It matches the Rfam family "tRNA". From Rfam's summary of the family: Transfer RNA (tRNA) molecules are approximately 80 nucleotides in length. Their secondary structure includes four short double-helical elements and three loops (D, anti-codon, and T loops). Further hydrogen bonds mediate the characteristic L-shaped molecular structure. tRNAs have two regions of fundamental functional importance: the anti-codon, which is responsible for specific mRNA codon recognition, and the 3' end, to which the tRNAs corresponding amino acid is attached (by aminoacyl-tRNA synthetases). tRNAs cope with the degeneracy of the genetic code in two manners: having more than one tRNA (with a specific anti-codon) for a particular amino acid; and 'wobble' base-pairing, i.e. permitting non-standard base-pairing at the 3rd anti-codon position. Lineage: Eukaryota; Metazoa; Chordata; Mammalia; Rodentia; Sciuridae. The record is from Rfam by way of RNAcentral.
GUGGCUGUGGCUUAGCAGCAGAGCACUCACCUGUCACGUGUGAGGCACUGGGUUAGAUCCUUAGCACCACA